GACGAACGCUGGCGGCGUGCUUAACACAUGCAAGUCGAACGGAAAGGCCCUGCUUUUGUGGGGUGCUCGAGUGGCGAACGGGUGAGUAACACGUGAGUAACCUGCCCUUGACUUUGGGAUAAUUUCAGGAAACUGGGGCUAAUACCGGAUAGGAGCUCCUGCUGCAUGGUGGGGGUUGGAAAGUUUCGGCGGUUGGGGAUGGACUCGCGGCUUAUCAGCUUGUUGGUGGGGUAGUGGCUUACCAAGGCUUUGACGGGUAGCCGGCCUGAGAGGGUGACCGGCCACAUUGGGACUGAGAUACGGCCCAGACUCCUACGGGAGGCAGCAGUGGGGAGUAUUGCACGAUGGGCGGGAGCCUGGUGCAGCAACGCCGCGUGCGGGAUGACAGCCUUCGGGUUGAAAACCGCUUUCGCCUGUAACAAAGCGUGUGUGACGGUAAUGGGUAAAGAAGCACCGGCUAACUACGUG
This 468-nucleotide ribosomal RNA is filed under the name uncultured bacterium. Its description in RNAcentral is "partial 16S ribosomal RNA". It matches the Rfam family "Bacterial small subunit ribosomal RNA", at positions 28 to 507 of the family's 1533-position model. The record is from RNAcentral.